This 406-nucleotide ribosomal RNA is filed under the name uncultured bacterium. RNAcentral describes it as "partial 16S ribosomal RNA". It matches the Rfam family "Bacterial small subunit ribosomal RNA", at positions 29 to 526 of the family's 1533-position model. The record is from RNAcentral.
AUUGAACGCUGGCGGCGGGCUUAACACAUGCAAGUCGAGCGAGCGGCGGACGGGUGAGUAAUGUCUGGGAAACUGCCUGAUGGAGGGGGAUAACUACUGGAAACGGUAGCUAAUACCGCAUACCAUCAGAUGUGCCCAGAUGGGGUUAGCUAGUAGGUGGGGUAAUGGCUCACCUAGGCGACGAUCCCUAGCUGGUCUGAGAGGAUGACCAGCCACCUUGGAACUGAGACACGGUCCAGACCCCGACGGGAGGAAGCAGUGGGGAAUAUUGCACAAGGGGCGCAAGCUUGAUGCAGCCAUGCGGCGGGUGUGAAGAAGGCCUUCGGGUUGUAAAGCACGUUCAGCGAGGAGGCGGUACUCGCAGAAGAAGCACCGGCUAACUCCGUGCCAGCAGCCGCGGUAAUUC